RNAcentral lists this ribosomal RNA (254 nucleotides) under Bacillus sp. (in: firmicutes). RNAcentral describes it as "Bacillus sp. (in: Bacteria) partial 16S ribosomal RNA". It matches the Rfam family "Bacterial small subunit ribosomal RNA", at positions 89 to 337 of the family's 1533-position model. The record is from RNAcentral. Lineage: Bacteria; Bacillati; Bacillota; Bacilli; Caryophanales; Bacillaceae.
GAUAUAGCGGCGGACGGGUGAGUAAACGUGGGUAACCUGCCUGUAAGAUCGGGAUAACUCCGGGAACCGGGGCUAAUACCGGAUAAUUAAUUUCCUCGCAUGAGGAAAUGUUGAAAGGUGGCUUUUAGCUACCACUAACAGAUGGACCCGCGGCGCAUUAGCUAGUUGGUGAGGUAACGGCUCACCAAGGCCACGAUGCGUAGCCAACCUGAGAGGGUGAUCGGCCACACUGGGACUGAAACACGGCCCAAACU